ACUUUCCCUUUUUGAAUAACUAAUGCUGCUGACAUUUCCCAAUUGUCUAUGUAUUCAGUCAGACGUUAAGAUGUGAGGAUGCCAACCAAACUAAACCCAUCUACUUUCCCGCUAUAUCAGUUCUCGUAUGCUCUCUAGCAUAGGUCCACAACUCUAUGAUCUUUCGCAUUUUGUGCAUGGCUAUUGAUAGUAAUCCUGGUUUUUCAUAUAUAUGACCACCACGCGUAAUUCUUGGUUGCAUAUAGAAUUGGAUAAAAACUAACAAAGAAAUGAUUAGCACACCAUCAAUAAUUUAGUUUCAGUAAUGAACGCUCAUUUACUUACGCCUGAGGCUCAUAUUGGUGCCUAAGAGCAUGGUUAAUAAUACAACCAAUAAUCGGUUGUAAGGAGUUGUCAUGUCAUAUAGAGCCAAUCAAAUAGCCGGCAUAUACAAUAAUAAGUUUUAGAUGUGUACUACUUUAGUAGUAGAUGGCUUACCUUACAAUCUCACAAAAUGUCUUGGAUCUCGUGAUGUAGAUGGUUACUCACAAGAGCCCGCUUCUUUUCUCUCUCCUCCAACUAAGCAAGGAUAUAAUAUUUUAAUCCUUAUAGUCUGUUUAUGUCACCUUACUGUACUUGCUCUAUAAUGUCUUGGGCAAAAUAGAUCGGUUCAUCCGAUCUUUGUUGCCUUGAAAAUUAAGAUUGGUUUAUCUAGUAUAAAAAAUUGUUACUCACAGAUACAAGCAAGUAGAAUAUAGGCACAUGACAAAGAGAGCAAGAGAUCCAGGCAAAAAAAGGAGUGUAUCUUAAGUGCCAGAUUCGUCAGAAAUUACCUCACUGAUGUAGGUGCACUUCAAAAUUAUUUCGGAUGUUCCAAGAUGAAUAUGAGGCUUUUAUCGGCACAAAAG
RNAcentral lists this long non-coding RNA (887 nucleotides) under Hordeum vulgare. RNAcentral describes it as "long non-coding RNA (HVUL_LNC014134)". Lineage: Eukaryota; Viridiplantae; Streptophyta; Magnoliopsida; Poales; Poaceae. The record is from RNAcentral.